RNAcentral lists this long non-coding RNA (502 nucleotides) under Serinus canaria (Common canary). Its description in RNAcentral is "lncRNA (ENSSCAG00000004189.1)". The record is from RNAcentral. Lineage: Eukaryota; Metazoa; Chordata; Aves; Passeriformes; Fringillidae.
GUUAAAUUACAGUCUGGGAACAAGCCAUGUCCCACACCAGGCAGAUGCUGGAGAGGGUGGCAUUGGUUGGGAGGAGGGCAGGCAUCUUGCUGAAGAGGAAGAGGAAGGGGAGGGAAGCAUUGUCUCAGCAGAAGAAUGUUAUUCUCCAGCCCUGAACACUCCACAGACAGAGAAGGCAAGGAGCAAAUGAAGUGGUCUCGGGCUGAAGUGCUCGCCCAUCAGGCGUUUGAAUGGCUGUUUGUCGCUGCAGACUGCGUGGCUCGAGGCAGAGAUUCCAGUGACAGAUGGAUCUCUCUCGUGCGCACUUGCUCUUUCCUUCUCUGUAUUUUUGUUUUCGACAUGUUUGAUCCAAAGCUCUGAAGCUUCUCAGAGGGAACCCAGGAAAGAAGGAAGGGAAGGAGUAGAAACCAAGGGAGCGUGAGCGACACAGGAGGCAGCCCUGCCUUGUUCUUCCAAAUCACACUGUGGAGGGGCGGGGGAAGACUAGAGGGGGAGGACUUGG